CUCCUCAUCACUCUUUACCUGAGAAUCCUCUGGACUGGAUCGUGUACCCAUCAGCCUUUAUCCAAAGAUGCAGCCGAUAGGGCUCAUUUGGUUCCAGCCCAGCUGCUGUUCAAACAGGUGUUUGUGAACAGCAGGGUCUCAUACAGGUGUAUGUAAAUGCAGUUGUGUUUCAAGACGGGCAUCUCCUACACAUCUCUGCACAAGAAUUACAUUCAAGUGGCGUACAUUUCACAGGCCUCCUUCGCUGGAGUCUACGUGCCCUGUGUAUCUCUACACCUGUGCGACCCUCCAGACGUGCAGUACAGGUGUGAAGUCCGUG
This is a long non-coding RNA of Octodon degus (degu), 319 nucleotides long. RefSeq lists it as uncharacterized. The transcript is spliced from 3 exons. Lineage: Eukaryota; Metazoa; Chordata; Mammalia; Rodentia; Octodontidae. The record is from RefSeq and is a predicted model, not a curated record.